Molecule: long non-coding RNA, 1179 nt
Filed under: Ictidomys tridecemlineatus (thirteen-lined ground squirrel)
Lineage: Eukaryota; Metazoa; Chordata; Mammalia; Rodentia; Sciuridae
Description: lncRNA (ENSSTOG00000034516.1)
Source: RNAcentral
GGAGACGCAGAGUUAGUUGACAUUCCUGAGCAGUUUGGUCUUUUCCCUAGGGCUGACUUCAGAGCAACCUGUGGAACUGCUGGAUUCUAUCCCCACUUGGACUCUUCCUUUUGAACAGCUAGUGAUUGACAAAGAGGUGGUUGGUUUCUGGAUGUCUGCGGCAUGCACGCAGUGAAAUCAAGAAAAGUGGGUUCAAUAGCAAGACAGUGGAAUUUGGGCUCUAUUUUAGGGCCCAGAAGAUUGUGGCCUGUUGUCAUGACCACAUAGGCACAACAAAUUUUAUAGCAGACAAAAAUCUCACCCUGCAUCUCAAAGAGAAAAGGAACUUUCCAUUUUCUGUGGAAGCACUGCUUGCUCCAUUGUGCAUUGUGCUUUUAACCUUUUCAUCAGGAAUUGUUAAAAUGUCAACAAAUGAUGUGAAAGAAGAAAUCCAAUAAAUAUAUAUUGAGUCAUUCAUUUCAAAGCAUACCUGGAGAGCAGAUUUAAAGCAAUUGAUAAUUUAUUCCAUUUCAAUGUGUAGCUAUAGUACCGCAAUCUCUAGCCCAUAAAUGUUUACAAAGGGCUUUGAUUUGUAUUUUGAAGAUUCCAUGCUAUGAUUUGCUAUUCCAUUUUUUAUGAUGACAUAUAAGAACAAAUCAGUCUGUUAAUAUUCUGCCAAAUUUCAUAGUAGAAUUUUGUUGGAGCCUAAUAUUUUUAAAAUCUCAUGUCUCAGAAUACAACAUUCACUAAUAUGGCAUUAUAUAAAAAUGUGGAUGUAUAACUGAUGUGAUUCUGCAAUCUGUAUUUGAGGUUAAAAUGGGAGUUCAUAACCCACUUGAAUCUAAUGUAUGAAAUAUGAUAUGUCAAGAGCUUUGUAAUGUUUUGAACAACCAAUAAAGAAAAAAAAAUCUCAUGUCUCUUAAGUGCAUAGUGAGUAUGUAUAUAAAUGAAGCAACUUCCAAAUCCAGUGCACCAAAAUUGGUUUUUCAAAAAGAUCAACAAAAUUGAAAGUCCUUUAUCUGGACGUAUAAAAAAGGAAAACUCAGAUUACUAAAAUCAGAAUGAAAGUAAGAAUAUUACUAUCUAUUUUACAUUCAUAAAACAUUUAGCUGUGCACAGUGGGGAUGGUUGUAGUCAUAGAUACUCAGGAAUCUAAGACAGAUCACUUGAGCCCAGGAGUUUAAUGUCAUCAUGUUCAAC